RNAcentral lists this ribosomal RNA (526 nucleotides) under uncultured prokaryote. RNAcentral describes it as "bacterial SSU rRNA". It matches the Rfam family "Bacterial small subunit ribosomal RNA", at positions 388 to 905 of the family's 1533-position model. The record is from RNAcentral.
GCAGGGUUCCUACAUUCGUAAGACCGGGUUUGGAUGGUCAAAGGAAUUGGUGGGGAACGAAUCGACGAAUUCUAAUACAAUGAGCUAAUGACGGUACCGUAAGAAUAAGCACCGGUCUAACUACGUGCCAGUCAGACCGCGGUAAUACGUAGGGUGCAAGCGUUAAUCGGAAUUACUGGGCGUAAAGCGUGCGCAGGCGGUUUUGUAAGACAGUCGUGAAAUCCCCGGGCUCAACCUGGGAAUUGCGAUUGUGACUGCAAAGCUGGAGUGCGGCAGAGGGGGAUGGAAUUCCGCGUGUAGCAGUGAAAUGCGUAGAUAUGCGGAGGAACACCGAUGGCGAAGGCAAUCCCCUGGGCCUGCACUGACGCUCAUGCACGAAAGCGUGGGGAGCAAACAGGAUUAGAUACCCUGGUAGUCCACGCCCUAAACGAUGUCAACUGGUUGUUGGGUCUCUUCUGACUCAGUAACGAAGCUAACGCGUGAAGUUGACCGCCUGGGGAGUACGGCCGCAAGGUUGAAACUCAAA